RNAcentral lists this microRNA precursor (132 nucleotides) under Olea europaea subsp. europaea. It matches the Rfam family "MIR167 microRNA precursor family". Lineage: Eukaryota; Viridiplantae; Streptophyta; Magnoliopsida; Lamiales; Oleaceae. The record is from RNAcentral.
GAGAGGGAAUAAGUGAAGCUGCCAGCAUGAUCUAACCUGGGUUAGACUUUGAAUGUAAAAGUUCAAAAGAAAAUGAUGAGAAAAUGCUAACCCUAGCUUGGUCAUGCUCCGGCAGUUUCACUCGUUCUUCUA